This 244-nucleotide ribosomal RNA is filed under the name Prochlorococcaceae cyanobacterium ETNP14_MAG_5. RNAcentral's name for it is "partial 16S ribosomal RNA". It matches the Rfam family "Bacterial small subunit ribosomal RNA", at positions 1 to 243 of the family's 1533-position model. Lineage: Bacteria; Bacillati; Cyanobacteriota; Cyanophyceae; Synechococcales; Prochlorococcaceae. The record is from RNAcentral.
GAACUGAAGAGUUUGAUCCUGGCUCAGAUUGAACGCUGGCGGUAUGCUUAACACAUGCAAGUCGAACGGAAACGGAACUAGCUUGCUAGUAGACGUCGAGUGGCGGACGGGUGAGUAACGCGUAGGAAUCUGCCUGAUAGUGGGGGAUAGCCCGGAGAAAUUCGGAUUAAUACCGCAUAAUCUAUUCGUAGUAAAGUGGGGGACUUUCGAGCCUCACGCUAUCAGAUGAGCCUGCGUAAGAUUA